This is a long non-coding RNA of Cavia porcellus (domestic guinea pig), 328 nucleotides long. RefSeq lists it as uncharacterized. The record is from RefSeq and is a predicted model, not a curated record. The transcript is spliced from 2 exons. Lineage: Eukaryota; Metazoa; Chordata; Mammalia; Rodentia; Caviidae.
UUGGAUAGAGCACGAGGAUUGAAUGCUUCUUCUCUGUAGAUGGUAUGUUACAGUACGGGAAAAAGUCUUGCGCUUAAUGGGAUCUUGGGCAUCUCCCGAACCCUGCAGGCUUGUAUGGCCUUGAAUCCAUCCUCGGCCUGGCUCCACUUUAGCCAUUGUCGUUUAAAUGUAUCUUCUUGAACCGCCGGCAGAGUCGUGCUGAGCCGGCUACAGACGUUGAACUUAAAUCAGCUGAGAUCCAGAGACUCAAUGGGCAGGAGGAUCUGGUAAGGUGGGCGUCUGUGUCAACUGAACUGCUUAGCAAUAAAGCAAAAGUAACAAAUCGUAA